CGGAUGAAGGGUGCCCGGGACCCGGUCUUCUCCCUCACGGGAACACUUUUUUCUAAGGUGACCUCGGAUCAGUAGAAUCGCAUUCCC
Molecule: ribosomal RNA, 87 nt
Filed under: Fonsecaea monophora
Lineage: Eukaryota; Fungi; Ascomycota; Eurotiomycetes; Chaetothyriales; Herpotrichiellaceae
Description: partial 28S ribosomal RNA
Source: RNAcentral